AAUAAAUGUAAUGAGAUCAACCAUGAUCUCACCGAAUGGUGGAGGAAAUUCAAUGUGCCAAAUGACUUUUUGAGUGAGUCUUGUUGUUUGACAAUGAAUUCGUAAAGGUGUUUUUUUUGUCUCUUGGAUGAGAUGUAAAAAUGAAAUGUGUACGCUUCCUUUUCAUCUGGCAAUAAAUAAUCGUUCUGAACGAUUUCCAUUGACUAGUGGCAAUCUGACAAGCAUCACGAUGUAAAGAGAUUCUUAGCUUCUUUUUAAUUGUCAAGUUAUUCUUUGGAAUUAAUUCAGCAUAUAUUUUUGCAUCUCAGGAAUUAUAUUCAUCACUGCAUCUCAAAAAGUACUCUGUUGUAUGAUAACAGCAUUUUAAAGAACACUCUUCAAUGGUUGUGAUUUUCAGUUGCCAUAACACACAUUAAAUUACAUUGUUGGCCAAUCUGUCCAUGAUUAUUUCAUUGUCUUACAUUUCAAACAGACAAGGAAAUAUUGGUGAUGCAAUGAAGAGUUUGAUGAUAAAAUAUAAUUACUGUUACGGUUUCCUCUUGGACGAAAUAUUCUCAUCAAAUUGACUGGUGAAGGAAAUGGGACACUGACUUUCCUCAAGCUUUAGCAUAAACUGGUGGAGACUUUCGGCGCUUGCAAAAAGGCUCACCUCUCUUAAUACUGAAGGAAAAUUGGAGUUUAAAAGUAAGUUCAUCCGCUGUCGGGGAAUGAAAUGUUAAUGUUGACUUGAAUAUAAUUUUUAAAAAAGUAAUAUAUUUGUGUAGCACUAAACUCAAAUUAAAAUUUGGAUAUGCCAGUUGACUCCUGUUUGACACUGUAUGGAAUGGCGGUGACAUCAGAUUCAGUGAUGAUUGAGAAUCUAAAGAAUAUGAGGAUAAGAUUUAACAUCCAAAUAUCAUUGAACUCUUCAAGGAAUGUAUUACUGGAAAAGGGGGAAAGCAUGUAUGUCUAUUAGAAUUGAAUACACUCUGAAGGCGGUGGCACAGAUGAAACAGACCUGUGUGCUAAAACUUAUCACAAAUUUCACAUUGAAUGGAGCAGUUUAAACAGGCUGGAGGAAGCAGACAUGCCAGCGCAAACUUUUGAAUUUGUGCAUUCUGUUCAUAAACAUCAGCAAAAUUGUGGGAACCUGUUUAUUCUUUCUCUUUUAUUGCACAGAACCAUACGAUUACACUAAUUUUGAUUAGGAAUUUAAAGAUUAUGAGCCCCGUCCGUUUGACUCGCAGUUUGGUACCAUAGGUUGGUACGAUCUUCGUUCAAGAAGGAAGAGGGAUGUUCCAGACACAGAAAAUCGUCAAACCAUUUUCUACAAAGUCUGUUUCUGCUUAGUAUUAAUUAAUGCAGUUAACAUUUUCAGAUCGACAUGAUUGCAGAAUGGAGUCAAUAAAACAAAUUCCAUCUGAUAUUCAACAUAAAUUUUAAGUUUGGAAUAACAAGCUCACAAGAAAGAUGACCUGGUUUUAGAUAUCACUUGGGACCACAGACUAACAGACAAAGGAACAAAGCAAAACGACUCUGCGAUUUGAUGUAGAAACUCCUGACUCCGAAGCCUGCAGCCGCCCUCCAAUUCUCAAGUCAGAAGUGUGUCAAUGAUGGUGCAGAUCCAACAACACUGGAAACGAUCUUGAGUCUAGACCAAAGCAGCCCCUUGAUUGGCACCGUAUCCAUUCUCUCCACAACUAACUCCAAGACACAAUAAUGUGUCCAUAUACAAGAUGCACUGCCACAUUUUUUUUCCAACUAUUCUUACACCCGCCUUUCCAGACUUAGAAAACUCAUCUUCAAGGUCAAGGACAUCAGACAUGGUAGCACUAAUCCCAGUAAAAAUCACCUCCAAGCUACUCUCAAACUGAUUUGGAAAUGAAUGAUUGUUCCUGAGUCAAUAUUAGUAAUCUCUUUUGGAACAGCAUUGUGGGCCUGUCUACAGCAACAUGAAGCUGUUCAAGAAGUCAAUUUGUGCUGGACAAUCAGCAACAGCUAUGUCUCAUUAAAGAAUAAAUAAAUCGGAAAGAAAUCCAUCUGAGAGUCACAAGCAAA
This is a long non-coding RNA of Stegostoma tigrinum, 2037 nucleotides long. RefSeq lists it as uncharacterized. The record is from RefSeq and is a predicted model, not a curated record. NCBI's taxonomy places the organism in Eukaryota, Metazoa, Chordata, Chondrichthyes, Orectolobiformes, Stegostomatidae. The transcript has 2 exons.